GAUGGACGCUGGCGGCGUGCUUAACACAUGCAAGUCGAACGAGAAAUGUAGACGGAAACCUUCGGGCGGAAGCCUUCAUUUCGAGUGGCGGACGGGUGAGUAACGCGUGGGUAACCUGCCUCAUACAGGGGGAUAACAGUUGGAAACGACUGUUAAUACCGCAUAAGACCACAGCAUCGCAUGAUGCGGGGGUAAAAACUCCGGUGGUAUGAGAUGGACCCGCGUUCGAUUAGCCAGUUGGCGGGGUAACGGCCCACCAAAGCGACGAUCGAUAGCCGAUCUGAGAGGAUGACCGGCCACAUUGGGACUGAGACACGGCCCCAACUCCUACGGGAGGCAGCAGUGGGGAAUAUUGCACAAUGGGGGAAACCCUGAUGCAGCGACGCCGCGUGAGUGAAGAAGUACUUCGGUAUGUAAAGCUCUAUCAGCAGGGAAGAAAAUGACGGUACCUGAGUAAGAAGCCCCGGCUAACUACGUG
This 478-nucleotide ribosomal RNA is filed under the name uncultured bacterium. RNAcentral describes it as "partial 16S ribosomal RNA". It matches the Rfam family "Bacterial small subunit ribosomal RNA", at positions 28 to 507 of the family's 1533-position model. The record is from RNAcentral.